UUUUUGGGUUUUUUUUAAUUGUUUUCAACAAGGUAGAGUCAGAGCCUGGCAUAGCUUGCUAUCCUAUCUGCUGGAUGGGUUUUGCUCAUUGUUGUAACGUACAUGUAUAGUUGCCAACAUCUUCUCUACUUCAUAUGCUCUCUGAUGGAUAGUUGUCUUAUCAAACCACAUCUCCUGAACCUAUUGGUUUUUUUUGAGUUACAGAAUCAAU
Molecule: long non-coding RNA, 211 nt
Filed under: Mytilus galloprovincialis (Mediterranean mussel)
Lineage: Eukaryota; Metazoa; Mollusca; Bivalvia; Mytilida; Mytilidae
Source: RNAcentral